UACGGAGGGUGCAAGCGUUAUCCGGAUUCACUGGGUUUAAAGGGUGCGUAGGCGGGCAGGUAAGUCAGAGGUGAAAUCUCCGGGCUUAACCCGGAAACUGCCUUUGAUACUAUCUGUCUUGAAUAUGGUGGAGGUCAGCGGAAUAUGUCAUGUAGCGGUGAAAUGCUUAGAGAUGACAUAGAACACCCAUUGCGAAGGCAGCUGACUACGCCUAUAUUGACGCUGAGGCACGAAAGCGUGGGGAUCAAACAGG
RNAcentral lists this ribosomal RNA (253 nucleotides) under uncultured bacterium. RNAcentral's name for it is "partial 16S ribosomal RNA". It matches the Rfam family "Bacterial small subunit ribosomal RNA", at positions 524 to 776 of the family's 1533-position model. The record is from RNAcentral.